Molecule: regulatory RNA element, 100 nt
Organism: SAR116 cluster alpha proteobacterium HIMB100
Lineage: Bacteria; Pseudomonadati; Pseudomonadota; Alphaproteobacteria; Puniceispirillales (SeqCode)
Rfam family: Pyrrolysine insertion sequence mttB
Source: Rfam
AUGGCAGAUGCCAAGAUGCCGGAUGCGCAAUCAGGCUAUGAGAAAGGCUCCACCCUUGUUAUGGCCGGCCUGUCAGGGCUGAAUAUGGUGUAUGAGGCAG